GGGAUCAUUACCGAGUUUACAACUCCCAAACCCAAUGUGAACCAUACCAAACUGUUGCCUCGGCGGGGUCACGCCCCGGGUGCGUCGCAGCCCCGGAACCAGGCGCCCGCCGGAGGGACCAACCAAACUCUUUCUGUAGUCCCCUCGCGGACGUUAUUUCUUACAGCUCUGAGCAAAAAUUCAAAAUGAAUCAAAACUUUCAACAACGGAUCUCUUGGUUCUGGCAUCGAUGAAGAACGCAGCGAAAUGCGAUAAGUAAUGUGAAUUGCAGAAUUCAGUGAAUCAUCGAAUCUUUGAACGCACAUUGCGCCCGCCAGUAUUCUGGCGGGCAUGCCUGUCCGAGCGUCAUUUCAACCCUCGAACCCCUCCGGGGGGUCGGCGUUGGGGAUCGGGAACCCCUAAGACGGGAUCCCGGCCCCGAAAUACAGUGGCGGUCUCGCCGCAGCCUCUCCUGCGCAGUAGUUUGCACAACUCGCACCGGGAGCGCGGCGCGUCCACGUCCGUAAAACACCCAACUUCUGAAAUGUUGACCUCGGAUCAGGUAGGAAUACCCGCUGAACUUAAGCAUAUCAUAAGCGCGGGAGGAAACUUAUGUGUUAUCUUCAGCACUGAGGGUGGAACCCGCCCA
Molecule: ribosomal RNA, 628 nt
Filed under: Trichoderma sp. SHW20
Lineage: Eukaryota; Fungi; Ascomycota; Sordariomycetes; Hypocreales; Hypocreaceae
Description: eukaryotic LSU rRNA
Rfam family: 5.8S ribosomal RNA (bases 195-348)
Source: RNAcentral